CCUGGUGCUUCUAGCGAAGGGGGUACACCUGUUCCCAUCCCGAACACAGAAGUUAAGCCCUUCAGCGCCGAUGGUACUACCUCAUGAGUGGUGGAAGAGUAGGUCGGUGCCAGGA
This 115-nucleotide ribosomal RNA is filed under the name Candidatus Peregrinibacteria bacterium. The record is from RNAcentral. Lineage: Bacteria; Candidatus Peregrinibacteriota.